AUAGCAGUUAACCAUCAAACUCCAAGUGAUGCUGUCCCUCUGAGGCAUUUUAUCGAACACCUUGCGUGCACACUGAAAUCAAAACAGCACAUUUUUUUUUUGAUAGGCUCAAAACAGCACAUUUACACAACAAGGAGUCAUCCAUUUGAACAAUCACAUGAAAUGUAGACAGUUAACAAGAACACCGUAGACGUGCAGUUCUUUUUCUUUAUUGACCUUUUCAUGGAUAAUUGAUUUAUGUUUGAUCACAAAUACAAUACGGUUCGAAUCGAGAAAUCAGAAGAACUAGGGCAGAGAGACAGAGAGAGAGAGAGAGUUAUCGGAGAUUUUGAUUACGAUACCUGAGAGGAUAAGCGAAGCCCUAGAUUCGCACAGCGGCAGACGACG
This 387-nucleotide long non-coding RNA is filed under the name Actinidia chinensis (golden kiwifruit). RNAcentral's name for it is "long non-coding RNA (ACHI_LNC009439)". Lineage: Eukaryota; Viridiplantae; Streptophyta; Magnoliopsida; Ericales; Actinidiaceae. The record is from RNAcentral.